CGGCGGGUUGGCACCGGGUCUCCCGGGGCCCCCGGCCCCCUCUGGGGGCGGCCCGCCGGAGGUACCUAACUCUUGAACAUUGUAUGGCCUCUCUGAGUCUUCUGUACUGAAUAAGUCAAAACUUUCAACAACGGAUCUCUUGGUUCUGGCAUCGAUGAAGAACGCAGCGAAAUGCGAUAAGUAAUGUGAAUUGCAGAAUUCAGUGAAUCAUCGAAUCUUUGAACGCACAUUGCGCCCGCCAGUAUUCUGGCGGGCAUGCCUGUUCGAGCGUCAUUUCAACCAUCAAGCCCCGGGCUUGUGUUGGGGACCUGCGGCUGCCGCAGGCCCUGAAAUGCAGUGGCGGGCUCGCUGUCACACCGAGCGUAGUAGUAUUAUCUCGCUUUGGGCGUGCUGCGUGUCCCGGCCGUUAAACGACCUUACACCCAAGGUUGACCUCGGAUCAGGUAGGAAGACCCGCUGAACUUAAGCAU
RNAcentral lists this ribosomal RNA (470 nucleotides) under Chaetomium sp. UASWS1153. RNAcentral's name for it is "eukaryotic LSU rRNA". The stretch from base 120 to 273 matches the Rfam family "5.8S ribosomal RNA". Lineage: Eukaryota; Fungi; Ascomycota; Sordariomycetes; Sordariales; Chaetomiaceae. The record is from RNAcentral.